This 1059-nucleotide ribosomal RNA is filed under the name Capnocytophaga canimorsus. RNAcentral describes it as "bacterial SSU rRNA". It matches the Rfam family "Bacterial small subunit ribosomal RNA", at positions 15 to 1086 of the family's 1533-position model. Lineage: Bacteria; Pseudomonadati; Bacteroidota; Flavobacteriia; Flavobacteriales; Flavobacteriaceae. The record is from RNAcentral.
GAUCCUGGCUCAGGAUAACGCUAGCCGCAGGCCUAACACAUGCAAGUCGAGGGGUAGAGUGCUUCGGCACUUGAGACCGGCGCACGGGUGCGUAACACGUGUACAAUCUACCUUUUGCUAAGGGAUAGCCCGAAGAAAUUUGGAUUAAUACCUUAUAGUAUUGUUUGGUGGCAUCACUGAAUAAUUAAAGCUCUGGUGGCAAAAGAUGAGUACGCGUCCCUUAGCUAGUUGGUGGGUAACGGCAUACCAGGGCUACGAUGGGUAGGGGUCCUGAGAGGGAGGUCCCCCACACUGGUACUGAGACACGGACCAGACUCCUACGGGAGGCAGCAGUGAGGAAUAUUGGACAAUGGUCGGAAGACUGAUCCAGCCAUGCCGCGUGCAGGAUGACGGCCUUAUGGGUUGUAAACUGCUUUUAUACAGGAAGAAUAAGGUCUACGAGUAGAUUGAUGACGGUACUGUAUGAAUAAGCAUCGGCUAACUCCGUGCCAGCAGCCGCGGUAAUACGGAGGAUGCGAGCGUUAUCCGGAAUCAUUGGGUUUAAAGGGUCCGUAGGCGGGCUUAUAAGUCAGAGGUGAAAGCACUGAGCUCAACUGAGUAACUGCCUUUGAAACUGUAGGUCUUGAAUGUUUUGUGAAGUAGGCUGGCAAUGUAGUGUAGCGGUGAAAUGCAUAGAUAUUACACAGAACACCGAUUGCGAAGGCAUGUUACUAACAAAUUAUUGACGCUGAUGGGACAAAGCGUGGGGGCGAACAGGAUUAGAUACCCUGGUAGUCCCACCUGUAAACGAUGGAUACUAGCUGUUUGGAGUAAUUUUGGAGUGGCUAAGCGAAAGUGAUAAGUAUCCCACCUGGGGAGUACGCACGCAAGUGUGAAACUCAAAGGAAUUGACGGGGGCCCGCACAAGCGGUGGAGCAUGUGGUUUAAUUCGAUGAUACGCGAGGAACCUUACCAAGGUUUAAAUGGGAAACGACGUAUCUAGAGAUAGAUAUUUCUUCGGACGUUUUUCAAGGUGCUGCAUGGUUGUCGUCAGCUCGUGCCGUGAGGUUCGGUUAAACC